GCCGGCGUGGUGGAACUGGUAGACGCAGCGGACUCAAAAUCCGCCGAGGGCAACCUCAUGUCGGUUCGAUUCCGACCGCCGGCACCA
RNAcentral lists this transfer RNA (87 nucleotides) under Nitrospirota bacterium. Its description in RNAcentral is "tRNA-Leu". It matches the Rfam family "tRNA". Rfam says of the family: Transfer RNA (tRNA) molecules are approximately 80 nucleotides in length. Their secondary structure includes four short double-helical elements and three loops (D, anti-codon, and T loops). Further hydrogen bonds mediate the characteristic L-shaped molecular structure. tRNAs have two regions of fundamental functional importance: the anti-codon, which is responsible for specific mRNA codon recognition, and the 3' end, to which the tRNAs corresponding amino acid is attached (by aminoacyl-tRNA synthetases). tRNAs cope with the degeneracy of the genetic code in two manners: having more than one tRNA (with a specific anti-codon) for a particular amino acid; and 'wobble' base-pairing, i.e. permitting non-standard base-pairing at the 3rd anti-codon position. The record is from RNAcentral. Lineage: Bacteria; Pseudomonadati; Nitrospirota.